Molecule: ribosomal RNA, 274 nt
Filed under: uncultured bacterium
Lineage: Bacteria
Description: partial 16S ribosomal RNA
Rfam family: Bacterial small subunit ribosomal RNA
Source: RNAcentral
AUACGAAGGGUGCGAGCGUUGUUCGGAAUUACUGGGCGUAAAGGGCGCGCAGGCGGCUUGAUAAGUCAGAUGUGAAAGCCCACGGCUCAACCGUGGAAGUGCAUCUGAAACUGUCUGGCUUGAGUACUGGAGAGGAAAGUGGAAUUCCUGGUGUAGAGGUGAAAUUCGUAGAUAUCAGGGGGAACACCGGUGGCGAAGGCGACUUUCUGGACAGAUUCUGACGCUGAGGCGCGAAAGCGUGGGGAGCAAACAGGAUUAGAAACCCCAGUAGUCC